RNAcentral lists this ribosomal RNA (202 nucleotides) under uncultured bacterium. RNAcentral's name for it is "partial 16S ribosomal RNA". It matches the Rfam family "Bacterial small subunit ribosomal RNA", at positions 338 to 532 of the family's 1533-position model. The record is from RNAcentral.
CCUACGGGAGGCAGCAGUAGGGAAUCUUCCACAAUGGACGCAAGUCUGAUGGAGCAACGCCGCGUGAGUAAAGAAGGUUUUCGGAUCGUAAAGCUCUGUUGUUGGUGAAGAAGGAUAGAGGUAGUAACUGGCCUUUAUUUGACGGUAAUCAACCAGAAAGUCACGGCUAACUACGUGCCAGCAGCCGCGGUAAUACGUAGGU